This is a long non-coding RNA of Mustela lutreola (European mink), 1178 nucleotides long. RefSeq lists it as uncharacterized. Lineage: Eukaryota; Metazoa; Chordata; Mammalia; Carnivora; Mustelidae. The transcript is spliced from 3 exons. The record is from RefSeq and is a predicted model, not a curated record.
UUCCGGUGGGAGGCGGAGGGUGGACGCGACGAGUGUGAAGUGUGUUGGCCGGCGUCGAGGCUUCGGGACGGCGUUUCCCGGGGUUGGCAGGUCCCAGGCUGGUUCUUCUUAAAGACGAGGCCCGGCACCGCGCCAGACAUGCGGCGUGUGUCACCUGCCUGCAGCGUCGGAGCCACCUUUCCCAUGUUGUGGAGCGCCCGCGACGUCCCCGGGAAGUGGGGCGGCUCGCUCGAGGUCACGCAGCGCUUGGUCGUGAAGCAGAGUUUCAGGACCGGCCUGAGACGUGGGGAGGCCGGGCUCUAGGCUGCCGUGGUUCCGGAGGGCAGAGGGGCGUGCCCGUAACCCGGGAGACUGAGGCUGGGCACUGCCAGGAGGGGCCAGGGCGAGGAAGGGCCGGGGCCGGACGAGGAGCGGGAAAGAUUCGUGGUUGCGUGGGUGGGGGACGGCAGAGGGAACGCUCACUGGAGGACCGAAGCGGCUGCCACAUGCCAGAUCUUGGAGGACCUCGAGUGCCGGAGGAAGGAAGCUGGCCCACAGGGGACCGGCUGCCACAACUGGUUCUCGAGCCCAACAAGACCAGCUGGGCCUCUCCGGCCCUCGCUUCUGUCUGGUGUCCUGCUCAUGGAAACUCCCGCCUGCACCUCUACACUCUGCUUACAGGGCUACGCAGGAGCCUGCACUAUUCUUAACGACUACGAUGCCCUGUUAGGUCCCUGGCAGCUCUGCAAACCUUUCUGUAGGAUUGGCACAUUCUAGAAACUUCCACCAAACCGUGACGUUUGAUCUUUGACGUUUGAUUCUGCUGGAGCUGGGGAUAGAAGCUGUCUCCCUGUCUGCACGUCACUGUCUUCUUUCUUUACAAGACUCCUGACACCACAAGAUCCCAGGGACACCAGGCGCCCGUGGAUGUGCUAGAAUGCCAACCCUCAAGUCUGGUCCCCACCAAAGCGGAGCUGUCCUGCCCUCACCUGGCACAGAGCUCCUGGCCUUUCUCAUGUCCUGGCUCACAGAGGACAGGCUGCUGUUGGUACAGCCCUUGGGGUAAAUGACCAGGGCUGCCCCUGGGGGUCAUGCCUAGCCUGGGGUCUCUGGCUGUCCUAGCGUUGCUCUGGAAGCCUCCAAGGGUCAACACCUGAGCCCACCUGAAAUGCAGCCACAUUAAAGAUGGGAAGCUUUGA